UUUUUUUUUUUUUUUACAUAUAGGUUUCGUGCAUGAAGAAAUGAAGCUGCCGACUUUGUUGUUGGUCGAUCGGCUCAAUGCACACUUUGAGGAAGACAAAAAAGGAGAUUUGUCGACGGUAAAAAAGUAGAUUGAAAGUUGGGGAAAAAAUAUACGCCUGUUCUUGCGAAAGAUCUCGUUGGAUGGAGAUGAUGGAACGGAAUCUUCGACGGUUCGUUGACUCUGGACGCAUAUUAAAUUUCCACUUGCAACGUAUAAAAAUAUGAAUAAAAAGAACCUCAAGGUUAACUGCUGGCUGUCGUAACAAUCCACGGAUGAAAUGACCGAUCGUUUGAAAAUACGCUAGUUAAAAAAUUCUUUUGCCAUUCUGUAAUUAUUUUGCUGCUGAUAUCGACUCAUGACCCGAACGAAUCGAGCUUUCCAUCCCCGGUAACGUGACUUAUUCAAGUGGGUCACAAAAGAAAACUCGAGACGUCGUGUCAGUUGAAAUCCUGUAUUUUUGAUUAAGUCUAGAAUGGAAUAAUAAAUCUGAUUCUUUUUUAAUCUAUCUUUGCAAAUUCUUUUUUUUUUUCUUCAUGGACGAAGAUAUAAUUAA
Long non-coding RNA from Apis dorsata (giant honeybee), 595 nucleotides. RefSeq lists it as uncharacterized. NCBI's taxonomy places the organism in Eukaryota, Metazoa, Arthropoda, Insecta, Hymenoptera, Apidae. The record is from RefSeq and is a predicted model, not a curated record. The transcript has 3 exons.